RNAcentral lists this unclassified non-coding RNA (580 nucleotides) under Alanomyces indicus. RNAcentral's name for it is "sequence contains ITS1, 5.8S rRNA gene, ITS2". The stretch from base 214 to 367 matches the Rfam family "5.8S ribosomal RNA". The record is from RNAcentral. Lineage: Eukaryota; Fungi; Ascomycota; Dothideomycetes; Botryosphaeriales.
AACCUGCGGAAGGAUCAUUACCGAGUUCUGGGUUCCUUCUCUUAGGGCCCGCUCUCCCACCCUUUGUGUAUCUCACCUUGUUGCUUUGGCGGGCCAGCGCCCCUAAAAAGGCGCGGCCGGCUCCCAUACCGGGGGCUGGCAAGCGCCCGCCAGAGGAAUAUCAAACUCUUAUCAGUAAACGAUGAAGUCUGAUCGAAUAUAUUAAUAUUCUAAAACUUUCAACAACGGAUCUCUUGGUUCUGGCAUCGAUGAAGAACGCAGCGAAAUGCGAUAAGUAAUGUGAAUUGCAGAAUUCAGUGAAUCAUCGAAUCUUUGAACGCACAUUGCGCCCUAUGGUAUUCCGUAGGGCAUGCCUGUUCGAGCGUCAUUACAACCCUCAAGCUCUGCUUGGUAUUGGGCGUCGUCCCCCAAACGGACGUGCCUCAAAGACCUCGGCGGUGGCCUCUUUGCCUCAAGCGUAGUAAAACAACUCUCGCUUUGGAGUCGAAGGAGUCGCCCGCCGGACGAACCUUCUGAACUUUUUUCUCAAGGUUGACCUCGGAUCAGGUAGGGAUACCCGCUGAACUUAAGCAUAUCAAUA